RNAcentral lists this ribosomal RNA (253 nucleotides) under uncultured Blastopirellula sp. RNAcentral's name for it is "partial 16S ribosomal RNA". It matches the Rfam family "Bacterial small subunit ribosomal RNA", at positions 524 to 776 of the family's 1533-position model. Lineage: Bacteria; Pseudomonadati; Planctomycetota; Planctomycetia; Pirellulales; Pirellulaceae. The record is from RNAcentral.
GACGAACCGUACGAACGUUAUUCGGAAUCACUGGGCUUAAAGGGUGCGUAGGCGGCCCGGGAAGUUGGGUGUGAAAGCCCUCGGCUCAACCGAGGAAUUGCGCCCAAAACUGCCGGGCUUGAGGGAGACAGAGGUGAGCGGAACUAAGGGUGGAGCGGUGAAAUGCGUUGAUAUCCUUAGGAACACCAGGAGCGAAAGCGGCUCACUGGGUCUCUUCUGACGCUGAGGCACGAAAGCUAGGGGAGCGAACGGG